CAUGUCUUUUUGUUAAUAAUUUAAAGUCUGACCUGCUCUAUGAUUAAGUAUUAAAUGGCCGCGAUAUUUUGAUCGUGCAAAGGUAGCAUAAUCAUUAGUUUCUUAAUUAGGAACUGGUAUGAAAGGUUGGACAAGAAAAAUACUGUCUCAAUUUAAUUUAAUUAGAAUUUUAUUUUUAAGUCAAAAAGCUUAAAUAAUUUUAAAAGACGAGAAGACCCUAUAGAGUUUUAUAUUAAUAAUUUUAAAAUAAAGUUAAGAAUUAAAUUUUUUUUAUUAAUAAUUAAUAUUUAGUUGGGGUGACUAAAAAAUUGAAUAAACUUUUAUUUUAUAAUAUUCAUUGAUUUAUGAUUAAUUGAUCCAUACUUUAUGAUUAUAAGAUUAAAUUACCUUAGGGAUAACAGCGUAAUUUUUUUUAAGAGUUCUUAUCGAAAAAAAAGUUUGCGACC
Molecule: ribosomal RNA, 446 nt
Filed under: Liatongus militaris
Lineage: Eukaryota; Metazoa; Arthropoda; Insecta; Coleoptera; Scarabaeidae
Description: partial 16S ribosomal RNA
Source: RNAcentral